RNAcentral lists this ribosomal RNA (240 nucleotides) under uncultured bacterium. RNAcentral describes it as "partial 16S ribosomal RNA". It matches the Rfam family "Bacterial small subunit ribosomal RNA", at positions 15 to 247 of the family's 1533-position model. The record is from RNAcentral.
GAUCAUGGCUCAGGGUGAACGCUAGCGGCAGGCUUAACACAUGCAAGUCGAGGGGCAGCAUAAUGGAUAGCAAUAUCUAUGGUGGCGACCGGCGCACGGGUGCGUAACGCGUAUGCAACCUACCUUUAACAGGGGGAUAACACUGAGAAAUUGGUACUAAUACCCCAUAAUAUCAUAGAAGGCAUCUUUUAUGGUUGAAAAUUCCGAUGGUUAGAGAUGGGCAGUGCGUUGUAUUAGUCG